UGCGAGUGAGCGGGAAAAGCUCAAAUUUAAAAUCUGGUGGUCUUUGGCCAUCCGAGUUGUAAUUUAGAGAAGCGUCUUCCGCGCUGGACCGUGCACAAGUCUCCUGGAAUGGAGCGUCAUAGAGGGUGAGAAUCCCGUCUUUGGCACGGACACGCCAGGGCUUUUGUGAUGCGCUCUCGAAGAGUCGAGUUGUUUGGGAAUGCAGCUCAAAAUGGGUGGUGAACUCCAUCUAAAGCUAAAUAUUGGCGAGAGACCGAUAGCGAACAAGUACCGUGAGGGAAAGAUGAAAAGCACUUUGGAAAGAGAGUGAAACAGUACGUGAAAUUGUUGAAAGGGAAACGCUUGAAGUCAGUCGCGUCGACCGAGACUCAGCCUCGCCUUGGCUUGGUGUAAUUCUCGGCUGACGGGUCAGCAUCAAUUUUGCCUCUUGGAUAAUGGCGAGGGAAAUGUGACACCUUUACGGUGUGUUAUAGUCUCUUGUCGCAUGCAAGGGUUGGGAUUGAGGAACUCAGCACGCGCCUUCGGGUGUCGGGGUUAUGCCCACGAUACGUGCUUAGGAUGUUGGCGUAAUGGCUUUAAACGACCCGUCUUGAAACACGGACCAAGGAGUCUAACAUGCGUGCGAGUGUUCGGGUGGAAAACCCGUGCGCGCAAUGAAAGUGAAAGUUGGGACCUCUGUCGUGGAGGGCACCGACGCCCGGACCAGACCUUCUGUGACGGCUCUGCGGUAAAGCAUGUAUGUUAGGACCCGAAAGAUGGUGAACUAUGCCUGAAUAGGGUGAAGCCAGAGGAAACUCUGGUGGAGGCUCGUAGCGAUUCUGACGUGCAAAUCGAUCGUCAAAUUUGGGUAUAGGGGCGAAAGACUAAUCGAACAUCUAGUAG
This 882-nucleotide ribosomal RNA is filed under the name Russula lutea. RNAcentral's name for it is "LSU rRNA". It matches the Rfam family "Eukaryotic large subunit ribosomal RNA", at positions 88 to 950 of the family's 3401-position model. The record is from RNAcentral. Lineage: Eukaryota; Fungi; Basidiomycota; Agaricomycetes; Russulales; Russulaceae.